CGGACUCUUCUACUGCUGCCAGCCUCUACCUUAUAGGAGGCUGAAGAUUUUUACCAAUGCCUGUUUCCUUCCUUAAAGGAGAAGGUGUCUCCAAGGGUGGCUGAAACCCCAGAGCAAGGGGUCAGAAGACACCAGCAUAGGACCAAUAUUCCAGUAUCACUUGCCUUCCAUGCAUUAUGGGACUGGGAGGGGCCAGCUAACAAAAGCAAGAACUCAAGGGACAGUGGCAUUCGCAUUGAGGGGGUGGAACAGAUGGCCAAGGCUUAGUGUACUGCGAGGUUUCUUUCCUUCUAGAGCUCCAGCAAUCUUUUCCAGUAGAAAGCCUACUGAAAAAUUGUGACAAGACGAAGCUGUAUUUGCCAGCCGGAAAUGGAAAAACAUGAUCUUGGAAGUUAGUCAU
Long non-coding RNA from Dermochelys coriacea (leatherback sea turtle), 400 nucleotides. RefSeq lists it as uncharacterized. NCBI's taxonomy places the organism in Eukaryota, Metazoa, Chordata, Testudines, Dermochelyidae. The transcript is spliced from 3 exons. The record is from RefSeq and is a predicted model, not a curated record.